AGCGAACGCUGGCGGCAGGCCUAACACAUGCCAGUCGAACGAACCUUUCGGGGUUAGUGGCGGACGGGUGAGUAACACGUGGGAACGUGCCUUUAGGUUCGGAAUAACUCAGGGAAACUUGUGCUAAUACCGAAUGUGCCCUUCGUGGGAAAGAUUUAUCGCCUUUAGAGCGGCCCGCGUCUGAUUAGCUAGUUGGUUGAGGUAAUUGCUCACCAAGGCGACGAUCAGUAGCUGGUCUGAGAGGAUGAUCAGCCACAUUGGGACUGAGACACGGCCCAAACUCCUACGGGAGGCAGCAGUAGGGAAUCUUGCGCAAUGGGCGAAAGCCUGACGCAGCCAUGCCGCGUGAAUGAUGAAGGUCUUAGGAUUGUAAAAUUCUUUCACCGGGGACGAUAAUGACGGUACCAGGAGAAGAAGCCCCGGCUAACUUCGUG
Molecule: ribosomal RNA, 434 nt
Filed under: uncultured bacterium
Lineage: Bacteria
Description: partial 16S ribosomal RNA
Rfam family: Bacterial small subunit ribosomal RNA
Source: RNAcentral